GUGUCAGCAGCCGCGGUAAUACCAGCACCCCGAGUGGUCGGGACGAUUAUUGGGCCUAAAGCAUCCGUAGCCGGUUCUACAAGUCUUCCGUUAAAUCCACCUGCUUAACAGAUGGGCUGCGGAGGAUACUAUAGAGCUAGGAGGCGGGAGAGGCAAGCGGUACUUAGUGGGUAGGGGUAAAAUCCGUUGAUCCAUUGAAGACCACCAGUGGCGAAGGCGGCUUGCCAGAACGCACUCGACGGUGAGGGAUGAAAGCUGGGGGAGCAAACCGGAGGAUAUACCAGGGGAUUAC
Molecule: ribosomal RNA, 292 nt
Filed under: uncultured bacterium
Lineage: Bacteria
Description: partial 16S ribosomal RNA
Rfam family: Archaeal small subunit ribosomal RNA
Source: RNAcentral